UAAAAUUAGGAGGCACAGCUGCAGGUAUCUUCAGCACUACCUUCCAUUUUCACAGCAGGGGUUAAGAAGAUAUUAACUUGGACAAUCUUCUCAUAAGCAGCCCUGGGCAAAAGAGGAUGAAAUCUAGACCAGAGAACAGGCUGAUCAGUACCUCCUGGAUGUCUGUCAGUGGUAGAGGGCAGACCUGACUCGAAUAAUUUUCUGUUCACCGUGGCUGUCCUGCACUGAGCAGGGCUUGGACUAGAUGACCUUUAAGUUCUUCUGCAGCAAGGACAAGGGGAGAAGAGAAGAAGAUAGGGGCAGGGACGUAGCAAGGUUGGAGUGGGCCCAGAGACAAGAUUUUAAAAUGGCCCCCCCCUCACUGAAGCUCAGCUCAUGAACAGGGUGCUAGACAGUGUGUGCAAGCAGAAUUGGCCCAGUCUUGCCCAGAGGCCUUGCAAUCCACAUGAGACAGGCAGACAUGAAAGGGAGCAGAUGGAUAGCUGCCAGUUCUCUUAAUCACAAACCUGACAACAAUGCAAAAUUGCUGGCUAUUACUGACAACCAAGAAACGACAAAUGAAUGAAAGAAAAAGCACAUAUGAAAUCUCACAGUUAUCUAAUACAUCAACUUGGAUUCUGCUUCCCCAUCAUGUCUUCUGUUAUGAUUUCAUUCUCACUCAAUGACAUUUAAUAACAUAUCUAUGUAUUUGGAUAAACAUCAAAAUUGAAAAUAUAAAACUUGUGGCCUUAUUUACAAAGAAAAUCCAAAUCUCGGAUGUGGCGUUAAAUCAUGUACUGAAUUAUAAUGUAUAAACUGUUCCCACGAACAAA
Long non-coding RNA from Hemicordylus capensis (graceful crag lizard), 812 nucleotides. RefSeq lists it as uncharacterized. The record is from RefSeq and is a predicted model, not a curated record. Lineage: Eukaryota; Metazoa; Chordata; Lepidosauria; Squamata; Cordylidae. The transcript has 5 exons.